Molecule: ribosomal RNA, 227 nt
Filed under: uncultured bacterium
Lineage: Bacteria
Description: partial 16S ribosomal RNA
Rfam family: Bacterial small subunit ribosomal RNA
Source: RNAcentral
UGGGCAACCUGCCCUCAGCUCUGGGAUAACUCCAAGAAAUUGGGGCUAAUACCGGAUAUGACCGCUGACCGCAUGGUCUGGUGUGGAAAGAUUUAUCGGCUGGGGAUGGGCCCGCGGCCUAUCAGCUUGUUGGUGGGGUAGUGGCCUACCAAGGCGACGACGGGUAGCCGGCCUGAGAGGGUGACCGGCCACACUGGGACUGAGACACGGCCCAGACUCCUACGGGA